GCCCCCGUCGUCUAGCGGCCUAGGAUCUCAGGUUCUCAUCCUGGAGACACGGGUUCGAGUCCCGUCGGGGGUA
This 73-nucleotide transfer RNA is filed under the name Planctomycetota bacterium. RNAcentral describes it as "tRNA-Glu". It matches the Rfam family "tRNA". Rfam says of the family: Transfer RNA (tRNA) molecules are approximately 80 nucleotides in length. Their secondary structure includes four short double-helical elements and three loops (D, anti-codon, and T loops). Lineage: Bacteria; Pseudomonadati; Planctomycetota. The record is from RNAcentral.